UGAGAAGUUAUGGAAUUUUAGUGAAAGCAGUAGCUCAAUACGAGAAGCACCACAUCGCGGUGACUCCAAGAAUGGCACUCGACAGUUUCCAGUGACUCAUCAUAAUAGUACUGCAUUGCAGUGAAGUUUUGGUUCCUAAUUGGCAUUUUCCAAUGAAGCAUCGUGAUAAGCAUCGCAUCGCGGAGGAGUGCCUGUUCUUACUCGUCAAUUUCCAGAGACGCAAUGCUAUCCCACCGCAUCACAUCAAAGUGUAGUUUUGUACUUGUCUGUGGGAUACACAUACUGUCAAAAAUUCAGUGGCAGCAAUGGCUAAAAUUAGGAUUUUCA
RNAcentral lists this long non-coding RNA (327 nucleotides) under Capsicum annuum. RNAcentral's name for it is "long non-coding RNA (CANN_LNC012587)". Lineage: Eukaryota; Viridiplantae; Streptophyta; Magnoliopsida; Solanales; Solanaceae. The record is from RNAcentral.